RNAcentral lists this long non-coding RNA (1866 nucleotides) under Paramuricea clavata. Lineage: Eukaryota; Metazoa; Cnidaria; Anthozoa; Malacalcyonacea; Plexauridae. The record is from RNAcentral.
ACAGGCUCAUCUCUAGAUGAUUUUGCAGCGGAUUUACGUGGUGAUUAUGCGCAUAGAUGCGUUUUUUUGAGAACUAGUGAUUGAAACAGAACAAACUCGAAAAUGUGUUUCAAUAUUUAAUAAAUAUUGAUCACUUUUGUGUAUAUAUUUCUUAACAUAUGGGUAAAAAUAACUAAUAAUGGUUCACAGAAAACAUUAAAACGAAACUUUAUUCACUGGGAUGAAGAAAUGCGCUAUAAAGACGACGAUAAAACGUGAACACAUUCAGGCAAUAAUCGGGCAUUAUUUCAAUGGGCAUUCAAUGCCAAAUAUCAACAGUCAUCUUCGAUUUGGAUUCUUUGGCAUCUUAUAAACAGAUCUUCAAACGUUUGUUCUGAUGAACUUAAAAGUUGUGGAUGUAAGUAUUUUUCUAUCAUUGAAUGAUUGAUUCUAGUAUACAAUAACUCAAAAAUGUUAAUUAAUAAUAUAAUUAGUAAUUAUUGCAAAUUUGCAAUAUUAUGAGAUCAAGAGAUCGAUUUUCUCUACCCAAUUUUGGUACAGAUAUCAAUACAUUAUUUCUUGCUUCAUUGUUAUAAUUUUAAUGCUUCUUGGUAUUAAUAUUAAUGAGGUUGUUUCUGUACUGCAUUUUAGGUACUGUAAUUACAUGUCAAGGUGUACCAAGUUUGAGAGCUUGUUUUGGGCCGAAUAUGUUUUCCGAGUGUACCGCUUGCAGCAAUAGCACAAGAAUACAGUUACAGACAAUGUUAUCUUACAAAAUCAUGUAAUUUGGUAUUGAAAAUUGAUUCACGUAUACAAAAAACUGUGGUAAAUGUUGGUCUGCAUGUUCCAUUGGUAAGCACGAUGAGUGGAGUGUGCAUCUUUAAACAUCCUUGUUACCAGCAAGAGGGUUCGGCAAAGAAAACUAUGGAAAAUUUAGCUAUACCAAUAGAGUCAUUUAAGUUAACACACAGGAACAUCUUUUAAACCAAACAUCAAACUGCAGGAAAAACUAAGUUUGCUCUUAAAAGACAAGAAACAGGUCAGAAAGUCUAACUGCCAGACAUCUGAAAAAACAACAGACGUCGACAGGUGCAGCAGCUCCAAAAGAAAACCGAGAGACGAAGCUCUAUGAGGAGCAGAAGGGACAACCUAUGAGGCUGGAGGCUUCUGAAGUGCUAAAAGUACUUCUAAUGACAAAAAAUUAGGCUAAAGUCCCUGAAACCUGUCAGGAACAGCUCGAGCAGUUGUUUAAGAACUUUAACACUUGUUUUCUCGGAAUGUACAUUUUCCGUCUUUGAGAAAAGAUAUCUCAUGAUGUAUUUAACCAAUUGUCCUGAAAUUUUCAGGGCUUAUUCUUUUAUUACAGCUGUCUUAAUUAAGCAUAGGAAAUUUCUGUAUCUUGUGUGGAAUACAUUUUAUGACAAAAAAUAUUAUCGAAAAAACCUAUGUUAACUUUACCUCUGCUGUGACCACUGGAUUUAUCAUACAAAAAAGUUCUAUGCUCAUUUAAGAUAAUGAUGCUUAUACUACUUACUGAUAAAAUUUCUUAAAAUUCCAAGCAAUUUAUAAGCAGAUAUCUUUUCUCAAAUUCACCCUAGUUUUGCACAGCAUGUGGUGUGAUUGCCGGCCUGGUGUCAGGUUACAAUGGACGUUAGGUACUAGUGAUUAGUAUUUUUAGUUUCUAUAGGUCAUAAGCUUUCUACUGAUAUAUAGUUUGUCAUAACUCUGGUGAAUAUCUUUAAAAUUACAGCCAUUUCAAAAAUGGCCAUCAAUCCAUGUGUACCCCCCCCCUUAAAAGGCCUGUAAAAGUUUCCAGUAAGUCUCUAGCCCAACACGUUCAGACCACACAAAGUUUUGUUACUUAUUAUUGUCCACUGUACACAUGGG